GCCCAACAGCUAGCCCCCCCCCCACCAAAAACAAAAAACCCCCAUAAUUACCCCCUAAUACCUAAACCCAACCCCUAAAAAAUAUUUUUUCCUCCUU
This 97-nucleotide ribosomal RNA is filed under the name Caesio cuning (redbelly yellowtail fusilier). RNAcentral's name for it is "partial 16S ribosomal RNA". The record is from RNAcentral. Lineage: Eukaryota; Metazoa; Chordata; Actinopteri; Lutjaniformes; Lutjanidae.